This 497-nucleotide ribosomal RNA is filed under the name uncultured bacterium. Its description in RNAcentral is "partial 16S ribosomal RNA". It matches the Rfam family "Bacterial small subunit ribosomal RNA", at positions 28 to 507 of the family's 1533-position model. The record is from RNAcentral.
GAUGAACGCUGGCGGCGUGCCUAAUACAUGCAAGUCGAGCGAACAGACGAGGAGCUUGCUCCUCUGACGUUAGCGGCGGACGGGUGAGUAACACGUGGAUAACCUACCUAUAAGACUGGGAUAACUUCGGGAAACCGGAGCUAAUACCGGAUAAUAUAUUGAACCACAUGGUUCAACAGUGAAAGACGGUUUUGCUGUCACUUAUAGAUGGAUCCGCGCCGCAUUAGCUAGUUGGUAAGGUAACGGCUUACCAAGGCAACGAUGCGUAGCCGACCUGAGAGGGUGAUCGGCCACACUGGAACUGAGACACGGUCCAGACUCCUACGGGAGGCAGCAGUAGGGAAUCUUCCGCAAUGGGCGAAAGCCUGACGGAGCAACGCCGCGUGAGUGAUGAAGGUCUUCGGAUCGUAAAACUCUGUUAUUAGGGAAGAACAAAUGUGUAAGUAACUAUGCACGUCUUGACGGUACCUAAUCAGAAAGCCACGGCUAACUACGUG